AUCAUUUUGUAAAUUGGUAAAUCAAACAAUAAUGUGAUGUUAUAUAAUCAUGUGCCCUAAGCCCUUAGUAAUAUAAUGAUAAAUUAUAUUUUUUAAGUGGAUACAAUUACAAGAAUAAGUUUAUUGGAACGCAAGUUGUUGAAAAAGUAUUAAAUUUAAAUAAAAAUGAUUUGAGACUUGCUCAUAAAAUUACAAACAAUCAUAUAAAUAUACCAGGACCUAAAAAGCAGAGUGUUAGUAUAGCGGCACAAUUGUUUUCAAAUUCAUUAGCCAAAGCGAUUUCCUAUUGUGUUCAAAAUUUCAAUCUUGACUACAAUAAUUGGCAAGAGGUUAUAUUAUAAUGUUUAAAUUAUAUGUUUAAUUGUUUAUAUUUGUUGGAUGAAUAGUUGGAUGAAUCAUUAUUAUUGUUAUACAUAUAGGCUUCCUGGAUAAUACAGCUAUUUAAUGACUGGUUUGACCUGUUUAACACUCAGUUACCAGUAAAUAAAUUUAUAAAAAGUUAUGGAAUGGAUCUUGAAAAUCAAAACAAAUUAUUAAAAACAAUGGAUAAUUUUAUCUUAGAGAUGAGAGUUGUUGGACAUAAAACAUUGUUAGGUACCAUUUCAAAAAGGAAUUUUAUACAGUAACCAGUCAUUGAGAAAUCUUUUGAUUGAUUUGAAAUUAAAAUAUCCUGAUAUAAGUUAUAUAAUAACAAGACGUUUGAAUCAAGAUAUUCUUGAAAACCUUUACAGCUAUUUAAAAGCUAUGUCCGGUGCAAAUACACACUUAUCACCUCUUGAUUUUAGACAUAUUCUAAAAUGGUACUUGCUUGGUAAACAUGCCUCUAUUGCACUGUCACAGAACAGGAAUACUGAAGAUACAAUAGGUGAACGGUUAAUCGAUACUGAAUGUUUAUCAGCAUCAAUUGUCAAAGAGUCUGAAAUUCUUUAAACGCCUUUAGACAACGAUCACAUUUCCACCGAAGAACUAUCUUACUCUGCAGCAGAUAAUCAUUUUUUAGUAUUAGAGGAAGACAAAGAUUUUUCAGAACUUUUUAAAACAGAGGUGCCUUAAA
This is a long non-coding RNA of Acyrthosiphon pisum (pea aphid), 1054 nucleotides long. RefSeq lists it as uncharacterized. The transcript has 3 exons. Lineage: Eukaryota; Metazoa; Arthropoda; Insecta; Hemiptera; Aphididae. The record is from RefSeq and is a predicted model, not a curated record.